RNAcentral lists this ribosomal RNA (380 nucleotides) under uncultured eukaryote. RNAcentral describes it as "partial 18S ribosomal RNA". It matches the Rfam family "Eukaryotic small subunit ribosomal RNA", at positions 592 to 976 of the family's 1831-position model. The record is from RNAcentral.
CAAUAGCGUAUAUUAAAGUUGUUGCAGUUAAAACGCUCGUAGUCGGAUUUCGGGGCGGGUCCGCCGGUCUGCCGAUGGGUACGCACUGGCGGGCGCGUCCUUCCUUCCGGAGACUGGCCCUACUCUUAGCUGAGCGGGGUCGGGAGUCGGAUCGUUUACUUUGAAAAAAUCAGAGUGUUUCAAGCAGGCAGCCCGCUCUUGCAUGGAUUAGCAUGGGAUAAUGAAAUAGGACUUUGGUGCUAUUUUGUAGGUUUCGAACACCGAAGUAAUGAUUAACAGGGACAGUCAGGGGCACUCGUAUUCCGCCGAGAGAGGUGAAAUUCUCAGACCAGCGGAAGACGAACCACUGCGAAAGCAUUUGCCAGGGAUGUUUUCACUGA